This 326-nucleotide ribosomal RNA is filed under the name uncultured eukaryote. Its description in RNAcentral is "partial 18S ribosomal RNA". It matches the Rfam family "Eukaryotic small subunit ribosomal RNA", at positions 1470 to 1796 of the family's 1831-position model. The record is from RNAcentral.
CCCUUAGAUGUUCUGGGCCGCACGCGCGCUACACUGAUGCAUUCAACAAGCCUAGCCUUGACCGAGAGGUCCGGGUAAUCUUUGAAACUGCAUUGUGAUGGGGCUAGAUUAUUGCAAUUAUUAAUCUUCAACGAGGAAUGCCUAGUAAGCGUGAUUCAUCAAAUCGCGUUGAUUACGUCCCUGCCCUUUGUACACACCGCCCGUCGCUCCUACCGAUUGAAUGUGUUGGUGAGGAGCUCGGAUUGGCAGCAGUUGGUGGUUCGCCACCGGCUAUUGCUGAGAAGUCCUCCAAACCGCCCCAUUUAGAGGAAGGAGAAGUCGUAACA